GAAGAGGUCGGGUGGCAUAAGGUGCAUGUUUCUGAGACAUCGCUUCGGGGAACAUACUAAACGGUCCAGCGGUAGUUUCGAUUUGCAGAUCGAGGAUCUGUUGAUACUGAUCUUAUGCAUAUGCUGGCUUUCGUUGGCUGUUUUGUAAACUCGGCAACCUUCUCCAGCACAGUCCUUAGAUUCAGAUGAAAUGAAGACCAAAGUAGAUACAGCUGUGCUAAAGCAAUCUCUCAACCUGGACUCUGUUGUUAAAAAACUGAAGAGAUGUUCCUCAUGGCCACUUCUUAGACAAAG
Molecule: long non-coding RNA, 294 nt
Organism: Sinocyclocheilus rhinocerous
Lineage: Eukaryota; Metazoa; Chordata; Actinopteri; Cypriniformes; Cyprinidae
Exons: 5
Source: RefSeq, a predicted model, not a curated record